GAGAACACAAGUAAACGGCAAAAUUGUGGAAGAUGCCAAUGGAGUCCAUAAUGAUGCUAAUGCAAUGAACGGUGUGUAGAUGGUGGAAGCUGUAAGCUAUGACUGCAGCGAGGACUGCGUUUUAUAUCUUUAAGAACCCUUGGGGUGGGGGCCUUCUGUUCCAAGAAUGCUGGUAAAUUUUGAUUUGUAUUCAACUAGAGGAAAAUGAAAAAUGGGUAGCAUGUACGAAUGUUUAGCAGUCCCGCUG
Molecule: unclassified non-coding RNA, 247 nt
Filed under: Hevea brasiliensis (rubber tree)
Lineage: Eukaryota; Viridiplantae; Streptophyta; Magnoliopsida; Malpighiales; Euphorbiaceae
Source: RNAcentral